AAAUUAUAUAUUCAGAAACUACAUCCUCGCAUGAAUCUAAUGAUAUAUUAUUUGUUACAUAUAAUACAUAUUUAAGUAGUUAAAUUAACGAUCUAGAACUAUGUGCAUGCCCUAUACACUUGGACGGAUGAAGUAUCAUGCAUGUCAACUAGGCAAUUUCGAUGAGGUGGCAUAGAAUUAAAUGAGGAAAGAGAGGGUUGAGUAUCAUAUCAUGAUACCGUAUCAUAUUAAACGAUAUGCUACUAUGUGUCUUGCAUGGCAAUAAAUGAACAAACAUAUGAUACUGUGCAUUACGGAUAUGGUAUCAUACACUAGUAUCAUAUGGAUGAUACUAGUAUAUGAUACUACCCAUUACAAUCAGCCUAAUGAGCUGAUAAAUUAACACGACGCAUGACAUACAAGAGUAGUACUAAUUAAUAGGAGUAAUUUUGUUGGCGCCUUCAACCUUGUCUAUUGUAGAAACGCACGUAAAUUUGACUGUGCCUUCUAAACCAUGACGUAGGAAGUAGAACAAAUGGAAGACCCACGUUGAUUUAAAGGCACUGUAUCUUCUCUGAGCACCUCAAUUCAAAUUCUUAGCUGAAGUGGAGCGAGAGGCGUGAAGGCAGAAUUUAUACAAUGCAGUUGAAGCUCACUCAAAAUAACUGAACAAAACAUUUUAAUAGUCUAGUUGAUGCAAUAGCCAAAAAAAUAGAGCAAUUCAUUCAUAGGUAAAAUGUGCCCGAAUUCAUUUUUACCAGAAGUCGUACCCGUCCUUUUCUACAUUAAGCGUAUAAAAAAAUACAUGCACAUUCAUAACAUAGUCUCCCUUUGUAUGACACACUAACACUAUAAAUAGUGGGACAGUAGGUGGCCAACUGCAACCAUUGCUUGUGUGGCAGAUACAAUCAUAAACCACACGGGGCCUUUGUAAUUAACAUAUCAACAUCAAAACUCACAGCAUAAGCAUAAGUUAAAUCGAUGCUUGGCCCCGUCUCUUUUGGGUAGCCUCUACGGUUAGCUUUAGCUGAGUAUAUGUACUCAGGACGAUGCUAGAUUUAGUUGGAAUGAGAUGUGUUGGGAAUGGAAGUAUAUGUUUAUGCUAUCAUCGGACGACUAGCUCACUUCAGUGAUGUACGUCUUCGGCGAUGUCAGCGGGAAGACAAGUACUGCUGUGUGGUAUUGUCUCUAGCAAACAAGUUGCGACUUGCAAGCAUAUUGCAUCAGGUCUUCACAUACUGAGGAGGCGAGCCUCCCUAGAAUCCGAAGUAAUUAUGUUGUUUCUCGCUUUGUCAUCUCUAAGGCCGCGGUCGGAGAACCUGAGCAAAACUAGAACGUUUUGCCGUUUAUAAAUUCCUUUUUUUAUAUGUCUUGCUCUCUUGCCAUGAUAGUUGUAUUCUUUGGCAUUGUCCAGUGUGGACCAAGUUUGUUUUAACUUGCAGUUUUAUAUGAUGAACAUGCACUACUCGUAAAUAGGGGUUUCGUCCGGAGCAUUAGUCCCAAUCUGAUUUUGGACCGGGAAUAAUGUGACCACUAGUUCUGGUUCUAAAGGUCGGGCUUUAGACCUGGUUCAUUUGUAACCUUUAGUCCCAGUUGGUGUUAUCAACUAGGACUAAAGGUGUGGUGGCAGGGUUGCGUCAGACUUGGGCCCCUGUGACCCCCUUUAGUCUCGGUUGGUGCUACCAACCGGGACUAGUUGUCCAUCUCUAGUCCCGGUUUGUAUCACAAACCGAAACUAAAGAUGUUACUAUAUAUAGUGCUUCGUUCAGCCCGAGCCCAAGAGCUAUGUUUUCUCUGUUUUCUUCAUUCUCUCCUCUUUUCUUCCCCUUGCUCGAGCUCAUCCUUCAUUUUUGCCAAGAUUUGUCAAGAUUUGAGGCACCCCCAUCUAUCCCAGUGUUUACAAAGGUUAGCAACUUUGUUCUUUCAUCUCUCAUUGCUAGGUUAACUCGUGCAAUGCUCUAUAAAUAUAGUGAUUUGUGGGUUUUAGUUUGAGAGUAAUUAUGUGAGAAUUUAUUUCAUUUAUAUGCAAUUUGAGCUUAAAUUAACUUCUUAGUUUGCAUAUGUGUAGGUGUGGUUUACUUAGUGCCUUUCUGUCUCCGUCAUAACCACCGUUCAUCACCCGCACCGUCCCGUCACCGGCACCACCUUGAUGAGCCUCUUGUUCUUAUAAAAAAAGGAAAAUUUUAUCGCCAAAAAAUACAAAUAAAAAGUAAACUACGUGUCAUGAUGGUUGUACUAUUUGGUAUCCUUCAGUGCGGCCGAGUUUGUUUUAACUCACGGUUUUAUAUGUUAAACGGUUUGUUGAAAAAAACUGCCGCAAAAGAAAAUGUAAGUCAAAAAAGUAAUUUACGGUUUUAUAUGAUGAACAUGUGGUUUCAAACAAAAAAACUGGAACAUUUUGUUGCGAAAGAAAAUAAUUACUCUCUGCAUUCCAUAAUGUAGUGGGUAUAGAAUUUGAAAAGUCAAACUUUGUAAACUCUGACCAAGUUUAUGGACAAAACUAAUUGUGUCUACAAAUCAAAAAUCUAUACAAUAUGAAACUACAUAUUAUGACGAAUAUAAUGAUAUAUAUUUGACAUUCUAGAUGUAAAUAUUAUUCUCACAAACUUGGUCAAAAUUGGUGAUGCUUGUUAGCUAGCGGAUCUCCAGCCGAGCGUUUCGUUUUGCAUGUUCAUAAUAUAAUGUAAUUAGCGGAAUGAUAGCUCCCAUCUAUAGUACAUACCUCCUUAAUUUCUACCUAGAUUACAAUUUUACUUACACAGGUUGUUGUAGCAUGCAGGUGGGCCUGAAAUUCGUCUCUCAGGUAGAUUCGCCAUUUCCUUUGCGAGGAAGGGAACGCAUCGCGAAAAUUGACACUUCCCAGAAAAUGCAUCCGAGAACCGCUUCCUGGGGUCAUGGCCCGGGCAAGAGGGAUAAUGUCCCUCACCGAGCUAUAUAACUAUGGCGUAGCUUGACGACUGCCACUACCGUGGGCCAGCCUCCGCUGGCCCAUGGUAUCCGGGUUUUCAUUGGGCCUAUAAUUUUGUUAAAAAAUCUCAGCACUUUGCAGUUAUUAAAUACAUGUUCGUAGCAUCGCGGUUGUUCGAUUUGUACAUCUCUCAUAUGGUGGUUAAAUCAGGUAGCCAAAAAUUCUUCAAUGGUCUUACUACUAUGCACCCCGUAAUUCUUAGCUCGCCGGCAGAGCGGUUUGUGUUCCAUAUCAAUAAUAUAAUGUAAUUAGCAGAAUGAUAGCGCUCUUGUGUCAUACUCCCUCUAUAGUGAUCUAAACACUUUUACAUUCUUCUUGGAGACGUCGUUCGGGUCCAUCCUACCUCUUUCCAUCUCACUACUUCUUGGGUGAAAACCCUAACUACGGCGGCCACGACGCUCAAUGUGUCGUGUCCUUCCUGAAGGUAUCGCCAUGAGAGCUUUGAGAUGGUGGGCAACGUUUGGAUUCGUUGGCAGGUGCAGAUAGUGUGCCCCUCUUCCUCAGGGGGGGCAUUUGUUCGAGGGGAAACCUAGAUCUGGCUCUCUCAGAUCGGAUGAUGUCGAAGACAGUGAUGUUGUUUAUACUAUUCGAGGGCAUUUCCUGGAGCAGAUGUUCACUGGAGGGGCCAACAAGUGAGCGUGUUGCAUCUACCACAUUGAAGAUGGCGGAUCUCGACAUCGUUGAGAAGUGGAGUCUCAGCGUUAGACGCGGUUUGACGGAAGCGGUCAUGAUGGUGACACUGUCUGGUGUCAUGAUGACAUCGACGACAAAUGGGUCUGGCAAAGUCUAUGGAAUGAUCCCUCCUGAAGAUGGCACGGGGGCAGAUGGUGGCAGCGGAUCCUAAAGUAUGUGCAUGCAGUGCCUGUUGUUUGUGCAAUUCCCGGAGAGAUAACAUGUGCACGUAUUUAUUGCUACCAGAUAAAUGUAUAAGGAAAUACAUAUGUUACGAUUUGUACGACACACAAACAUCUGUAAGAGAAGUAUUACGUCGUCGUCCUAAUGGUUAGCACACCCUCCUCCCCUCGUGUCCUUUUUUCGACAAAAAUAAAAAUUGAGAGAGAAACUCACUUUCUAGCGGAUAUCCAUUUCAGGUCUCAGAUCUAAAUGCUCCUGAAAUCUGGACUGCCCCUUGUUCUGGAGAUUCGCGCGCACUAUUGAAUUCUUCUAUGUAUUCCGAUUUAUGCUUCCAUUUUGGAACCGUACUAGUAUGACGUAUGUCCGUCUGUUUGACGUUGGUCCAGCGGGAGUUAACUGAGACAUUAUGCCCAUUGCAUUAAAUUCUGGGAUAAGUAUAUUUUUCGUCCUCAAAUUCUGGCGAUAGUAUAGGAAUCGUCCCUCAACUCCGAAACCGGUAAAACUCAGUCCCUCAACUAUUUAAACCGGAUACUUUUCGUCCCUCGCGGCACUUUAAGUGGUUUUGGUAUGACGUGGACCCGGUUUUGACUAAAACUGUACACGUGGAUUGUUUUGACCGCCAUGUCACUUAAGUGUCCCUAAUCUCUCUCUCUCUCCCGUGCAUUCUCUCGAUCCCAUCUCACACACGAACCCCAAACCUAGCAGCGGCGGCGGCGGCGAAUCGCCCAUGGUCUGCGGCGGCGGCGGUUGCGGCAGCCGGCGGUGAGGCGGAACUACGGUGGCGCGGCGGCGGGGCCUGUGAGGCGCGGCGGUUGCUCCUGUGAGGCGCGACGGUGGCUGGCUGUUUGGGCACGGGAGCGACGGCAGCGACGAUUUAGGCGGCGACGGCGAUUCAGGCUGGGGUCGCCCGUUGAAUCCCUUGGCUGGGCAAGCAGAUGGCAACCUCGCUCACUUCAAGUCGCUCCCGUGGGUCUUGUUCUUCACCAUCGAUCCCUCUCGGUCGCUCCUCCCCCAUUCCCUACCGUGAGGGGCCAUUGGAUUAUCAGCCACCGCGCCUCACAGGCCCCGCCACCGCGCCGCCGUAGUUCCACCUCACCGCCGGCCGCCGCAACCGCCGCCGCCGCAGACCAUGAGCGAUUCGCCACCGCCGCCGCCGCUGCUAGGUUUAGGGUUCGUGUGUGAGAUGGGGAUCGAGAGAAUGCACGGGAGAGAGAGAGAGAUUGGGGACACUUAAGUGACAUGGCGGUCAAAACAAUCCACGUGUACAGUUUUAGUCAAAACCGGGUCCACGUCAUACCAAAACCACUUAAAGUGCCGCGAGGGACGAAAAGUAUCCGGUUUAAAUAGUUGAGGGACUGAGUUUUACCGGUUUCGGAGUUGAGGGACGAUUCCUAUACUAUCGCCAGAAUUCGAGGACGAAAAAUAUACUUAUCCCUUAAAUUCUGAACGACCCCUGGUUCUUCACCAUCAGCUAGAAGAGCUGUGCGAGGUUCACCCGAUGGGGAGUAUAUUAUCUUGUGGUUCAUGACCAAGAUAUUGGGCUAGUUGUGUCUGCUCGAUCAACAGGAAAAUUGGACCCUCAAACAGCUGGACUAAGAGUUACUCUGCUGAGAAUAUGAGAUGAGGAGAACGAAGAAACCAUGGCUGGAAUGAUACGGGUUACUACUCUUUUGCAUGAAAUAUCGGACUUAAACCCCCAUUGUGUGCCUGGAUUUCGGUGUCUGCCUCCCCAACUCAAAUCUCUGUAUGCGCUGCACUAGCCAAGGGGAAGUGAGUGCAUGGGGGCACAUGUGGAGCAAGCUGGCGGCAGCGUCCCAUGGGUUUCCGCCGAACAUUAGUCACCUGCAGCAGACCAACAAUAGCUUCAGAAUCUAGAGGACAUGAAAUUUAAUAAUCGGGUAUAUCACACUUGACUGUCCGCCGGAUCCACGGGGAAAUUCAUCUACGAUUUUGCAAAACAAUCUCGGACCACAUGAGAUGUGUUGGUAAUAAACAUUUUUCUGUUUAUAAAUUCUAUUUUUUUACGUGCUUUCCUAUCGUGCCAUGAUGGUUGUACUCUUUGGUAAUAUUGUUCAGUGUGGACCAAGUUUGUUGUAAUUUACAGUUUUAUCUGAUGAACAUGUGGUUUCUCAGGAAAAAAGAGGAACAUUUUGCCGCCAAAAAGUAGAAAUACAAAGUCAACUACGUGACAUGAUGGUUGUACUCUUUGGUAUCCUCCAGUGUGGACGAGUUUGUUUCAAGUCACGGUGUUAUAUGAUGAACACACUGUUUAAAAAAUGGCACGUUUUUCCACAAAAGAAAAUGAAAGUAAAAAAAGUAAGCUACGGUUUAAUAUGAUGAACACAUGGUUUCAUACAAAAAAAUGAAACAUUUUGCCGCAAAAGAGAAUAAAUACUCUCUUCAUUCCAUAAUGUAGUGCGUAUAGAUUUUUUGAAAAGUCAACCUUUGUAAACUCCGACCAAGUUUAUGGAGAAAACUGUUUAUAUCUACAAAUCAAAAAUUUAUAAAAUAUGAAACUACAUCUUAUGACGAAUCUAAUGAUAUAUGUUUGACAUAUCCUAGAUGUAAAUAUUUUUCUUACAAACUUGAUCAAAGUUGGCGAUGCUUGACAGCUGGUGGAUCUCCGACAGGGGAAUUUGUGUUGCAUGUCCAUCCAUAACAUAAUGUAAUUAGUGGCAUGACAACGCGGAAAUUGCUUUUGGAGGCCGAGCUCCAUGGAGGCCUUUAAAUUCAAACUUCAAUUUCAUGAAAAUUCAUAUUUUGAUAUUUCAAAAAAUUCUGAAAAACCAUACAUAGAUAUAUGAAGGUAUAAUACACAAGUUUUUAAAUUUUCAGAACUAAAUAAGUUGAAAUAAGGGCUAUGCAAAAAAGACAAACAUGAAGCUUUUUAAUACAUGACAAUAUUCAUCUUUCUAGAUCAUGAAUUUGUCUUUUUGUACAGGUCGCGUCUCAAAGUAUUUUGGCCUGAAAUUUGACACACACACACACACACGGUUUAGUUGUAUAAUUUUUUCUAGAUUUUUUAGAAUCAAAAUUUCCAAAUUUUGAAUUUUCAAAAAAAUCGGCCUCCAUGGCUCCCGGGAGCCAAACAUCCGCUCUCAUGAUAGCGCCGUUAUGUAGUACGCACCUCCUUAAUUGCUACCUAGAUUACAAUUUUGCCCUUUAAAACAUGUUUCUUCCUAACAUUUGGUGGUGGUACUCCUAAGCAUCUUUGUUUAAGUACCAAUUGAUGUUGUCCAUCGUAUUAAUUAGAACAAAUGAAGGGCCCAGAUUGAUUUAAAGGUACCGUAUCUUCUCCGAGCACCUCGACCCAAAUUCUUAGCUGAAGUGGAGCCAGAGGCAUGAAGGCAGAAUUUGUACAAUGCAGCCGAUGCUCACUCAAAAUAACUGAACAUAACAUUUUUAAUAGUUUAGUUGAUGCAAUAGCCAAAAAAUAGAGCAAUUCAUUCACAGAUGAAAUGUGCCCGAAUUCAUUUCUACCAGAAGUCGUACCCGUCCUUUUCUAACAUUAAACGUAUAAAAAAUACAUGUACAUUCAUAACAUAAGCUCCUUUGUAUGGCACACUAACACUGUAAAUAGUGGGGCGGUAGGUGGCCAAUUGCAACCAAUACUCGCGGCGCGGAUACAAUCAUAAACAACACAGGGCCUUUGUAACAUAUCAACAUCAAAACUCACAGCAUAAGUCUCUCUUGUGUAGCCUCUACGAUUAACUUUAGCUGAGUAUAUGUACCCCAACGAUGCUAGACUUAGUAGGAAUGAGAUGUGUUGGGAAUGGAAGUAUAGGUUUAUGCUAUCAUUUCGGUGAUGUACGUCUUGUAUGUCAUCAGGAAGACAAGUACUGCUAUGCAGUAUUGUCUGUAGCAAACAAGUUGCGACUUGCAAGCAUAUUGCAUCAGGUCUUCACAUACUUGUUGCUCCAGCAACUGAGGAGGCAAGCCUCCCUCGAAUCCAAAGUAAUUAUGUUGUUUCUCGCAUUGUCAUCUCUAAGGCCGCGGUCGGUGAACCGGAGCAAAACUAGAACAUUUUUCUGUUUAUAAAUUCCUUUUUCAUUAUGUGUCUCGCUGUCUUGCCAUGAUGGUUGUACUCUUUGGUAUUGUCCAGUGUGGACCAACUUUGUAUUAACUUCCAGUUUUAUAUGAUGAACAUGUGGAUUCUCAACAAUAAAGGAACAUUUUCUGCCAAAAAAUACAAAUAAAAAGUGAACUGUGUGUUAUGAUGGUUAUACUAUUUGGUAUCCUCCAGUGUGGCCGAGUUUGUUUUAACUCGCGGUUUUAUAUGAUGAACAGUUUAUUCAAAAAAAAAA
RNAcentral lists this long non-coding RNA (8106 nucleotides) under Hordeum vulgare. Its description in RNAcentral is "long non-coding RNA (HVUL_LNC013800)". The record is from RNAcentral. Lineage: Eukaryota; Viridiplantae; Streptophyta; Magnoliopsida; Poales; Poaceae.